CAACAGAAAUUCUGGAAUAGAAUGCUACAAAAACUGAGUUAAAAAAUUUGCAAGGCUGGUUCUGUGGUGACUUUAUGCCAAUAAUCCCAGGACUUGGCAAGGCUGAGGCAGGAGGAUUGCUGAAGCCAACCAAGAGUUUGAGAGUAGUCUAGACAACAAAGAAGACCACAUCUCUACAAAAACACUAUUGCAUGUGGCAACAUGUGCCCAGCUCCUCUGAAGAGGGAAGAUCCCUCAGCCCAGGAGGUCAAGGUUGCAUUGAGCUAUUAUUGCACCACUACAUUCAAGCUUGGGUGAUAGAGUCCAAGAUCCUGUCAAAAAAAAAAAGAAAGAGAAAGAAGAAAAAGGAAAGGAAAGGAAAGGAAAAAGGGAGGAAGGAAGGAAGGAAAGAGGAAGGAAGGAAGGAAGGAGGGCGAGAAAGAGGGAGAAAGAGAAGGAAGGAAGGAAGAAGGAAAGAAGAGGGAAGGAAGGAAGGAAGGAUAAAGAUAGAAAGGAAAGAAAAAGAAAAAGAGAGAAAGAAAGAGAAAAGAAAGAAAGAAAGGGAGGGAGGUAGGGAAGAAAGAGAGAAAGGAAGAAGAAAGAAAGAAAGAAGAGAGAAAGAGAAAGAAAAAGAAAGAAAGAAAGAGAGAGAGAGAAAGGAAGGAGGGAAGGAAAGAAGGAAAGAAAGAAAGAGGGAGGGACAGAGGGAAGAAAGAGAGAGAGACAGGAAGAAGAAGAAAGAAAAGAAAGAAAGAAAGAAAGAAAGAAAGAAAGAAAGAAAGAAAGAAAGAAAGAAAGAAAGAAAGAAAGAAAGAAAGAAAGAAAGGAAGGAAGGAAGGAAGGAAGGAAGGAAGGAAGGGAAGGAAGGAAGAGAGAGAGAGAGAGAAAGGAAGGAAGGAAGGAAGAAGGAAAGAGAAAGAGAAAGAAAGGAAGGAAGGAAGGAAGGAAGGAAGGAAGGAAAGGAAGGAGAGAGAAAGAAAGAAAGAGGAGUUUAACAAUAAAAUUUAAUCAGAAUAAAUAAAAAAUACUGAACUCGGAAAGAGAAUACAUCUGAAAUUGUCAAGUUAGAGGGGAAAUGGAAAAUAAA
This 1066-nucleotide long non-coding RNA is filed under the name Papio anubis (olive baboon). RNAcentral's name for it is "lncRNA (ENSPANG00000046482.1)". The record is from RNAcentral. Lineage: Eukaryota; Metazoa; Chordata; Mammalia; Primates; Cercopithecidae.